CGUUUUAAUAAUGCAUAAAUGGAAAACAAUCGCAAUUAUCAGAUCACCAAAACCAGAUCAUCAACACAAUUCAAUCUGCACGAUAUUGCCACUACUAUUCAUUGACUCUUUCAAUAAUAAUUUAAAAUAACAUAUAUAUCCGCCGCCCGCCGUAUAUAAAUACACACAUCGAUAGAUACAUUAUACAUAUAUACAGAGGAGUUGAAUUGAAGAAAAAUGGGGAUUGUGGAGCAGGCGAAGAACUUCGUCGCCGAAAAGGUGGCCCAGAUGCCGGUGCCGGAGGCCACCGUCGAAGACGUCGAUCUCAAGGGUUUCGGCCUCGACGGAAUAACCCUCCUGGCUAAGGUUUCCAUUUCCAAUCCGUACGCCGUUCCGAUUCCCGUCGGAGAAAUCAGCUACAUCGUCAGCAGCGCCGGCGCAACGAUCGCCUCCGGUUCAGUGCCGGACCCUGGAUCGCUCAAGGCCAACGGCGAAACCGUGCUGGAUGUGACGGUGAAGGUGGCCAGCACCGCGGUUGUCAGCCUGCUCCGGGACGCCGCCGCCGAUUGGGAUAUCGAUUACUCGUUGGAGUUGAAGAUGAUCGCUGAUUUUCCGGUGAUUGGUGACGUCACCAUUCCGGUGUCGUAUCAAGGUGUGUUGAAGCUGCCCACGUUUGCUGACCUGUUCAAAGGGAAUUCUGAACCGUCAGCAGAUGCAAGUGUUGUAUAAUUAAUUCUCAGUUUUUUAAUUCACUUAUUUAUCUGUUUAGUAAUUUGGAGAAGUUAUUGAAUAUGUAUCCAUUAAAAUUAAAUUAUAUUUUUAUAUAUACAUAUAAAAUAUAAAUGUUUUUAUAUAUGUUUGAUCCCUUUGUUACGAGUUAUGACUUGUGAUCUUGCUUGGACGAACAUAGAUUGGGCAAAAAUAAACAUGGGAGAAAUUA
Molecule: RNA transcript, 919 nt
Organism: Erythranthe guttata (spotted monkey flower)
Lineage: Eukaryota; Viridiplantae; Streptophyta; Magnoliopsida; Lamiales; Phrymaceae
Gene name: desiccation protectant protein Lea14 homolog pseudogene
Source: RefSeq, a predicted model, not a curated record